This 253-nucleotide ribosomal RNA is filed under the name uncultured bacterium. RNAcentral describes it as "partial 16S ribosomal RNA". It matches the Rfam family "Bacterial small subunit ribosomal RNA", at positions 524 to 776 of the family's 1533-position model. The record is from RNAcentral.
UACGUAGGGGGCUAGCGUUGUCCGGAAUUAUUGGGCGUAAAGCGCGUGUAGGCGGUUCGAUAAGUCUGCUGUGAAAGUCGGGGGCUCAACCCUCGAAAGCCGGUGGAUACUGUCGGGCUAGAGUGCGGAAGAGGCGAGUGGAAUUCCUGGUGUAGCGGUGAAAUGCGCAGAUAUCAGGAGGAACACCGGUGGCGAAGGCAGGUCUCUGGGCCGAUACUGACGCUGAGGAGCGAAAGCGUGGGGAGCAAACAGG